CCUCGAAUCAGGUAGGGAUACCCGCUGAACUUAAGCAUAUCAAUAAGCGGAGGA
Molecule: ribosomal RNA, 54 nt
Filed under: uncultured fungus
Lineage: Eukaryota; Fungi
Description: partial 26S ribosomal RNA
Source: RNAcentral